GACUGAAAGGGAUAGACUUGAGAAGCUAUCAAGUGUUGGUCCAGUCGAGCUUUGACCACUCGCGGAACAUCAAUCCUCGCACUGAAAUAAUAUUGCCUUAAAGUUCUAUCUAAACACAACGGGCUUCGUAAGAUUUGCCGGACGAGAGAGUGCGACAGCGCCGUUUAAUUAUAUACUUGGAUAUACAUACGUACUUGGAAAUUCUCAGCUGUACAAUAUGAGACUGAGACUAUUGUACAUCGUCGUGUUCUUACUGGCGAUAGUGACAGCCACAGCGUUUAUAGUUCCGAUAAAAUUGCGAUGGAAGCAAAAGAGAACAAAAGUUAACACGCAGCUUCGUAGAUCAAAAUAUGCGCAUUUGCCGUGGUUGUCGAUGCAAUGAGAGAUCUAGCGCUCUAGAGCGAGUUUGUGGAACAAUCUCUUAUACGUGCGGCAUAAGCGUGCAACAAUAAACAAUAUAUAUCGUACCACUUUCGCCUUUUCUACAUAUUUAUUCGUAAUGAAUGAAGACGAGUGAUUCGAGUCUGCAAUUAUAUUCAUUAAUAUUCUCGUGUACAUCUCGAUUAUCUUUAAUUAUUUAUCAUGGUACGAUAAUAUAGAUGUUAUCGUUCAAAGUUUGCGAGAACUCGGCGAGAUUGUGUUCAGCAGCACGAGUUCCGUAUCUGCUCGUAAAUCCAAACGCUUGGAACCUGUCACGAAAAUACGCCCGAAGAUAAAGUGACUCACUCGUUUUCAAAACUAGGUAAAUUCUUCUUCGUCAGAGCAACGUUUUCCACGGUAUGAAUAUUUACUAUCUGGGGUAAUUGCGAUGCGUUCUAUAUUCGAACAUUGCUGCAAAUGGAUAUUAGUCUAACGUUGCAUACUCGAUGCAAUAUAUCAGCGCUUCCCCUCUUGCGAAUGUUCUUUGAGCAAAAGAAGAAGAAGAAGAAGAAGAAGAA
Molecule: long non-coding RNA, 938 nt
Organism: Harpegnathos saltator (Jerdon's jumping ant)
Lineage: Eukaryota; Metazoa; Arthropoda; Insecta; Hymenoptera; Formicidae
Exons: 2
Source: RefSeq, a predicted model, not a curated record